GAUCAAUAGCUGAUCUGAGAGGAUGAUCAGCCACAUGGGGACUGAGACACGGCCCAGACUCCUACGGAGGGCAGCAGUAGGGAAUCUUGCACAAUGGGGGAAACCCUGAUGCAGCGAUGCCGCGUGAGUGAAGAAGGCCUUUGGGUUGUAAAGCUCUUUCGUCGGGGAAGAAAAUGACUGUACCCGAAUAAGAAGGUCCGGCUAACUUCGUGCCAGCAGCCGCGGUAAUACGAAGGGACCUAGCGUAGUUCGGAAUUACUGGGCUUAAAGAGCUCGUAGGUGGUUAGAAAAGUUAGUGGUGAAAUCCCAAGGCUUAACCUUGGAACUGCCACUAAAACUUUUUAACUAGAGUGUGGUAGAGGUAAGCGGAAUUUCUAGUGUAGAGGUGAAAUUCGUAGAUAUUAGAAAGAACACCAAUUGCGAAGGCAGCUUUCUGGAUCAUUACUGACACUGAGGAGCGAAAGCAUGGGUAGCGAAGAGGAUUAGAUACCCUCGUAGUCCAUGCUGUAAACGAUGUGUGCUAGACGUUGGAAAUUUAUUUUCAGUGUCGCAGCAAAAGCGUUAAGCACACCGCCUGGGGAGUACGACCGCAAGGUUAAAACUCAAAUGAAUUGACGGGGACCCGCACAAGUAGUGGAGCAUGUGGUUUAAUUCGAAGAUACGCGCAGAACCUUACCAACACUUGACAUGUUUGUCGCGACUCUAAGAGAUUAGAGUCUUCGGUUCGGCCGGACAAAACACAGGUGCUGCAUGGCUGUCGUCAGCUCGUGUCGUGAGAUGUUGGGUUAAGUCCCGCAACGAGCGCAACCCUUACUUUUAGUUGCUACCAUUUAGUUGGGCACUCUAAAAGAACUGCCAGUGAUAAGCUGGAGGAAGGCGGGGAUGACGUCAAGUCCUCAUGGCCCUUACGUGUUGGGCUACACACGUGCUACAAUGGUACUUACA
Molecule: ribosomal RNA, 945 nt
Filed under: marine metagenome
Description: bacterial SSU rRNA
Rfam family: Bacterial small subunit ribosomal RNA
Source: RNAcentral